This is a long non-coding RNA of Astatotilapia calliptera (eastern happy), 1132 nucleotides long. NCBI's taxonomy places the organism in Eukaryota, Metazoa, Chordata, Actinopteri, Cichliformes, Cichlidae. The record is from Ensembl.
UCGGGUUCACAGGUCCCUUGGACCAAAGCCCAGAGAGGGAGCGCCUCCUCGCCCACUCCUCAUUAGAGUCCACUACUUCCAUGUCAAGGAACAGCUGCUACGUCUUGCAGGGGCAAACUCUCCUCUACUUUACCAGGGCAGAAGGAUCUCCAUCUUUCCAGACUUCACACCUGCAGUGGCUAAAAAACGUUCAGUUUACUGGGGUCAAGCGCCUUCUGCACUCUUGUCCUGGGAUCAAGUUCGGCCUGUUCUAUCCUGCGGAACUGAGGGUGACACUUCCAGAUGGAGUUGUACGUAAGUUUACUGAUCCUGCGUCUGCCACGGACUUUGCCAAUAAGAUCCUGGGGGGCCCUGCCUCUCAGGGCACAUAAGUGUCUUAGCCCAUUGGGCUGAUAUGUCCAUCUUGGUUAAUUUCUGUGAAAUAUUCUAUUCUAUUUUUUUUUCUCUUUCUUCACUGUUUUUUAUUUUUUAUUGUAUCUUAUUGUAUUUUUUUUUUAAGUAACAUACUUAUGUUUAUUUGAGGUGAGCUUGAUUUAUAGGAUGUGUCUUGUUCUAAUAAAUUUUCAUACAAUCCUUGAUUUGUCUCUGCCUUGUAUUGCAAGGAGCUUGAACUCAACUGGGACUUCGAAUGGUUGGGAGAAAGUGCUCAGGGUGUGUUUGGUGGGGGGUGCGCGCAUCUUGUUAGGGAAGAUGCUUCAGCAUUUAGGGGGAAGUUUGGGUGUUCUUUGUUUUUUAUGUUGUACUGUUCUGUUCACUGACUUUGUUUUUUCUGUGUUUUUCAUUGGUCAGCUUUGGUUUUUUUCAACCUAUGUUCUAACAUGGUAUCGCAAUUAAAUACUAAUAAUCAACAAGCAGGUCACUCGUUUAAGUUCUGUAGCUGGAAUUGUAAAGGUCUGAAUCAACCUAUUACAGCUUUCAAGGUCCUCCAUUAUUUGCAAUUUUUGGGCGCCCAGGUUGUGUUUUUACAAGAAACACACCUAAAAAUUUCAGAUCAUUUUAGACUUCAUAAGGGGUGGGUGGGCCAACUCUAUCACUCUACAUUUAAAUCCAAAGUUCGUGGUGCUGCUAUUUUAAUACACAAAUCAGUGCCAUUUGUUUCUUCUAAUGUUAUAGCGGACCAGAAUGGUAGAUU